CUCUAGGAGAGUUUCCAUUUCUGGUUUCUCCUCUUCAAUUGCUGGUUUGUCAUGUUUCUCUUCAACAGCUAUCUCUUCAGAGGUCUCUUCAACCAUUGGUUCUUCAGGUUUCUCUUCAAGUGGUAGUUCAGGUGUUUCCUCCCCUGCUAGCUCUUCAGGUGUUUCUUUAGUUGUUGGUUCUUCAAGUUUCUCUUCAACAGUUGGUUCUUUAGGUUUCUCCUCAACUGGUUCUUCAGAUUUCUCCUCAAUUGUUGGUUCUUCAGGUUUCUCCAUAAUUGCUGGUAUAUCAAGUUUCUCUUCAAUAACCGGUUUUUCCACAGCUGCUGGUUUUUCAGGGUUUUUCUCAUCUUCUAGAAAGUGAGCAGCAUUGUUGCUAGUAUUGCAGGGAAUUUUAUUGUCAGUUUUUUCCUUCGAGUCUGCAACUAGCAAAUUCUGUAAGAAGAAUUUAAAGUUUCACUUAGUCUUUCAGUAGAUAAGCAGAUGUAAAUUGUUGUACAUACAUAACUAAUAGGACAGAUAAACUUUAUGACAGUGCUUGACCCUUGCCUUAUCCAAAAGAGUUACCUUUUCUGGUUUCUCCUCUUCACCUGUUGGUUCUUCAGGUUUCACCUCUUCAACUGCUGGCUCUUCAGGUUUUUCUUCACAUGCUAGUUCAUUAGGUGUUUCUUCCCGUGUUGAUUCUUUGGGUGUCUCUUCAGUUAUUGUCUUUUCAGGUUUCUCUUCAACCUUUGGUUCUUCAAGUUUCUCCUCUGCCAAUGGUUCUUCAAAUUUCUCCUCCACAGUUGGUUUUUCACGUUCUUCUUCAACUGCCAGUUCUUCAAGUUUUUUCUCAACCGCUGGUUCUUCAGGCUUCUCCAUAACAGCCAAUACUUCAGAUUUUUCUUCAAUCAUUGUUUCAUCAUUAUCUUUUUCAACUACUAGUUCUUGAGGUUUUUCCUCGACUGAUUCAUAGUCAGCAAUAUCAUUGUUGGUAUUGCAAGGAAUUGCAUUAUCUAUCUUGUCCUUUGGGUCUUCCAUUGGAAAAUUCUGCAAGAAAUUUAGAGUUCUACUUAGUAUUUAAAUAGAUAAACAUAUGUAAAUUCGUUGCACAUAUAAAGCCUAAUUUGAUGAAUAAACUUUGUGACAAUGUUUAAUCCUGACCUUCUCUAGAAGAGCUUCUGUUUCAGGUUUCUCCUCUUCAACAAUUAGUUCUUUAGGUGUCUUUUCAACCGUUGGUUCUUCAGUUUUCUCUUCAAGUGCUAAUUCUUCAGGUGUUUCCUCCCCUUCUAGCUCUUCAGGUGUUUCUUCAGCCGCUGGUUCUUGAGGUUCCUCCUCAACCACUGGUUCUUCAGGUUUCUCCUUAACCGCUGGUACAUCAAGUUUCUCUUCAAUAGUUGGUUCUUCAGGUUUUUCUUCAACUACUGACUCUUCAAGAUUUUCCUCAACUUGUGGAGGGUGAGCAACAUCAUUAUUGGUAUUGCAUGGAGUUUCACUGCCAGUUUUGUCGUUUGAGUCUACAACUAGCAUAUUCUGCGAAAGAAUUUAAUGUUUCACUUAGUCUAUCAAUGAAGAAGCAGAUGUGAAUCAUUGCACAUACAUAACUAAUAAGAUGGAUAAACUUUGUGACAGUGCUUGACCUCACCUUUUUGGAUGUCUCCUCUUCAAGUGCUGGUUUCUCUUCAAAUAAUAGUUCGUUAGGUGUUUCUUCCCGUUUUGGUUCUUCAGGUGCUUCUUCAGUUAUUGGUUUUGCAGCUUUCUCCUCAAUUGUCUCCUCAACCAAUGGUUCUUCAAGCUUCUCUUCCAUUGUUGUUUCUUUAGGUUUCUCUUCAAUUGCCGGUGGUUCAGGUUUUUUCUCAUCCACUGGUUCUUCUGGCUUCUCUGAAACUGCUGUUUCUUCUGAUUUCUCUUCAAUUGCUUGUUCUUCAUGUUUUUUUUCAACUACUGGCUCUUCAGUUUUUUCCUCAACUGAUGCAUAGUCAGCAAUGUCGUUGGUAUUGCAUGGAAUUGCAUUGUCUGUCUUGUCCUUUGAGUUUACAAUUGGCAAAUUAUGCAAGAAAAUUUUAAGUUUCAUUUAGUCUUUCAACAGAUAAACUUAUGUAAAUUCGUUGCACAUAUAAAGCUAAUAUGAUGGAUAGUUUUUAUGACAGUGUUUAUUUGUCACCUUCUCCUGAAGAGCUUCUGUUUCAGGUUCUUCCUCUUCAAUUGCUGGUUUUUCAUCUUUCUUUUCAACAACUAGUUCUUCAGAUGUGUCUUCAACUGUUGGUUCUUCAGGUUUCUCUUCAAGAGCUAGUUCUUCAGGUGUUUCCUCCCCUGCAAGCUCUUCAGGUGUUUCUAUAGUCGCCGGUUCUUCAGGUUUCUCUGUAAUCUCUAGUUCAGGUUUCUCCUCAACUGGUACUUCAGAUUUCUCCUCAAAUGUUGGUUCUUCAGGUUUCUCCUUAAUAGCUGGUACACCAGGUUUCUCUUCAAUGAGUGGUUCUUCAGUUUUUUCUUCAACUGCCGAUUCUUCAGGAUUUUCCUCACUGUCUGGAGAGUGUGCAACAUCAUUAUUGGUAUUGCAUGGGAUUUCACUGCCAGUUUUUUCGUUCGAGUCUACAAUUAGCAUAUUCUGCAAAAAGAAUUUAAUGUUUCACUUAGCCUUUCAAUAAAGAUGCAGAUGUGAAUCAUAGUACAUACAUAACUAACAAAAUGGAUAAACUUUGUGAUAGUGCUUGACCCUUACCUUUUCCAAAAGAGUUACCUUUUCAGGUUUCUCCUCUUCCAUGGCUGGUUCUUCAUGUAUCUCUUCAAAUGCUAGUUCCUUAGGUGUUUCUUCAAUUACUUGUUUUUCAGGUUUCUCCUCAAUUUUUGGUUCUUUGAUUGUCUCCUCAACUGAUGGUACUUCAAGCUUUUCUCCCACGGUUGGUUUUUCAGGUUUCUCUUCAACUGUCGGUUGUUCAGGUAUUUUCUCAACCGCUGGUUCUUCUGGUUUCCCCGAAACCCUUGAUUCUUCAGAUUUUUCUUCAAUUGCUGAUUCUUCAGAUAUCUCUUCAACUAUUGCUUCUUCAGUUUUUUCCUCAACUGAUGCAUAGUCAGCAAUGUCAUUGUUGGUAUUGCAUGGAAUUGCAUUGUCUAUUGUGUUCUUUGAGUUUACAAUUGGAAAAUUCUGCAAGAAAAUUUAAAGUUUCAUCUAGUCUUUCAAUAGAUAAACAUGUAAAUGCGUUGCACAUAUAAAGCUAAUAUGCUGAAUAAACUUUGUGAGAGUUAAUUCUCACCUUCUCCUUAAGAGCUUCCAUUUCAGGUUCCUCCUCUUCAAUUGCUGUUUUUUCAACUUUCUCUUCAACAACUAGCUCUUCAGAUGUAUCUUCAACCGUUGGUUCUUCAGGUUUCUCUUCAAGUGCUAGUUCUUCAGGUGUUUCUAUUGCUGCCGGUUCUUGAGGUUUCUCUUCAGUCUCUGGUUCUUGAGGUUUCUCCUCAGCUGGUACUUCAGAUUUCUCCUCAAAUGUUGGUUUCUCCUCAACUGCUGGUACAUCAGGUUUCUCUUCAAUGACUAGUUCUUCAUUUUUUAUUUCAACUGCCGGUUCUUCAGAAUUUUCCUCAAUGUCUGGAGAGUGAGCAACAUCAUUAUUGGUAUUGCAUGGAAUUUCACUGCCAGUUUUGGUGUUCGAGUCUACAAUUAGCAUAUUCUGCAAAAAGACUUUAAUGUUUCACUUAGCCUUUCAAAAGAAGAGCAUGUGAAUCACUGUACAUGCAUAACUAACAAAAUGGAUAUACUUUGUGAUAGUACUUGACCCUUACCUUUUCCAAAAGAGUUACCUUUUCAGGUUUCUCCUCUUUCAUUGCUGGCUCUUUAUGUAUCUCUUCUAAUGCUAGUUCCUUGGGUGUUUCUUCAGUUACUUGUUUAUCAGGUUUCUCCUCAAUUUUUGGUUCUUUGAUCGUCUCCUCAACUGAUGGUUCUUCAAGCUUUUCUCCCACUGUUGGUGUUUCAGGUUUCUCUUCGAUUGUCGGUUGUUCAGGUAUUUUCUCAACCGGUGGUUCUUCUGGUUUCUCCAAAACCCUUGAUUCUUCAGAUUUCUCUUCAAUAGCUGAUUCUUCAGAUAUCUCUUCAACUUCUGGUUCUUCAGUAUUUUCCUCAACUGAUGCAUAGUCAGCAAUGUCAUUGUUGGUAUUGCAUGGAAUUGCAUUGUCUGUUGUGUUCUUUGAGUUUACAAUUGGCAAAUUCUGCAAGAAAAUUUGAAGUUCCAUUUAGUCUUUCAAUAGAUGAAACAUAUUUAAAUUCAUUGCACUUAUAAAGUUAAUAUGCUGAAUAAACUUUGUGACAG
Molecule: long non-coding RNA, 4277 nt
Filed under: Solanum tuberosum (potato)
Lineage: Eukaryota; Viridiplantae; Streptophyta; Magnoliopsida; Solanales; Solanaceae
Description: long non-coding RNA (STUB_LNC003301)
Source: RNAcentral